This is a long non-coding RNA of Struthio camelus australis, 1719 nucleotides long. The record is from Ensembl. Lineage: Eukaryota; Metazoa; Chordata; Aves; Struthioniformes; Struthionidae.
AUGCGCUUGCUGAAGCCGCACCUCGGGAGGGAAAAUAAAAAGCACGUACUACUCAGGAGCUGUGGUGUGUGGCACAGCACCUGCUGCUUCAGGCAGGUCCCCAGCCAAGACCCGUUGGCUGGAGGUGGGUAUGGAGCAUGUUGGGGAAACAUGCAAGGUGCACAGGGAAAACCUUCCCAGCUGAGCCGAAACCUGGUGAUCUCUGAUCAGGAAUCAGUGCAACCAGGACUCUGGUCUAUUCGGAUGGCAAAUCCUGCCUUGUCCUACGCAAAAACUCUGGGGAGAAAUGCUUUUUCCUCCGUCGCUUUCUGGUGAGCACCGAACAACGAUCAGACAUGAGGAGGGUCAGGUCCCUGCUCCAGCUCCUGGCAAGGGGACAGACUCCAUCUGUAGGGUCAGAGCAAAAAAUCAGGCUCUUCUGGGACCUGGUGUCACAGCUCAUCACCAGACCUCAAAUUCGUCUUCCCUAAAUCCUGUCCUCCUCCCCUGCAGCUGUGCUGCUCUGGCAGCGCUGUCGUGACCAAUGAAGCCAGCCCCCUCUUCCGGACAACUGACUUUCUGCACUUGCUUUUCUUCGGUUUUUGCCAGUACAUCCCCCCCAAAAGCAUGCCGUUUUUCAGAUGACUCCUAUGUUACGAUAAUCCAUGUUUUCUCAAGAAAAAAUUUUCUCAGGAUGCGAUCCUGGGAAAUAUGCUCUAGGUGACCCUGCUUGAGCAGGGGGGUUGGACUAGAUGAUCUCCAGAGGUCCCUUCCAACCUCAACCAUUCUGUGAUUCUGUGAAAAGAAGACAUCAUUAGUCUGCAAGACUUCUAAUUUCAUGAUAAGGAGAUAAGUCUCUAGUCAUUGGAAGAGACCAUGAAAUAUUGACUUGCAAGAAAAUGUAACCUCCCUUGUCAAAUAAGACAUAUCCUGAAAAAGAAGACAGUCAGAAAUUCAUACAGCACAAAAAAUCUAGAGGCUGAAUACUAGAGAUGACAUGAAAAAUAGUCAGAACAGCAUAUGCUGACAAAAGGCCUUCAGAUGAGUGAGUUAUCUUUUGAGCAUUUGCUCAGCUGUUAGCCAAGCAAAAACACUGCACUUACUCUCUUCUCCUUCUUUAGAGUUCAGCCUAACGCUUCUGACGCAUUGCUCCUAAAAUGAAGGAAAAAGAAGUCUAGAGAAGGAAAGUUAAAAAAUACUAUAUAACCUACUGCAGUUGUAUUUGAAUUACCUCUUACAGAGACUUUAAAAAAGAACAAGAAAAAAGAAUAUUAUUCUCAAUUUUUUUUCAAGGAGUGUUUCCUCCUUUCCAAAAGAUGACACACUGCAGGGGAAUUCCUUGUUAUGCAAACAUCUUUUUUAUCAAGAAAGGUACUUUCAUCAUCUAUAUCUCAGUGGGCUGCAACAUUCAGAAAACAGGGCGGAAUGCACUAGAUACAGUUUAUGUGCGUUACUGACAUUAGAGGUUGUUAAAGGAUUAAAGGAUGUUUUUAAUUAGCAAUACAUAUACAUGUCAUUCAUAAUUCAUCUCCUAAUAUUCUAAGCCAGUGUAGGUUAAUUCAGAUAGAGCAAUUGUUCCAACAUGCAUUGUGAGCAUUAGCUUUCUUUACACACAUACUAGAGAAAGAUACUUCAGAUAUAAGAGCAGAGGCCCAGUCUUAUUCCCUUUUAUGCUGAGGCUGCAUUCCACUGUAAUUUAAUUACAAUAAAUGGUACAGCAACUUUAAAUAUCUUAGGGAU